Molecule: long non-coding RNA, 352 nt
Organism: Rosa chinensis
Lineage: Eukaryota; Viridiplantae; Streptophyta; Magnoliopsida; Rosales; Rosaceae
Exons: 2
Source: RefSeq, a predicted model, not a curated record
UAAGUGUGUAUGUUUAUGGUGAUGAAUUGAUAGAGAUAGUAAAAGAAGAUUACAGGAGGAAUGAUUGAAUAUAUAUUCUUUUUCUUAACAGAUAUGCAUUUCUUUAUUUUCACGUGUAAUUUUUCCUUCAUUCCAGUACCACAUUACCAAUGCAGCUACUUUACUAUAUUUGAUUCAGGUUUUUCAUCCUGCUUGUAUAGACAUGAGUGCAGAGGAAGCUGAAAGACUUGACCACUUUUUUUGUGAAGGUUGUUCUCCCGAGGGACAAAAGAAGUUGGAGAAUUCGCAUACUGUCUCCAGACAGUUGGAUACAAAGGUGGAGACAAAACGUCGCCGGAGGUGAUAUUGUAAA